GUAACUUUUUGAUCCUAGAGGAGAUGUGGGUACUUGACCCAGUUGCUAAUGAGGUGCUGUAUAAUAUCAUGUAUCCUAUAGCUCAAAAUAGCAGGAUGCAGUAUAAAAAGUACAUCAUAAAAGGCACUAUUGGAAUGCUUUUUGUCUUCACAGGCAAUACGCAAAAGAGAUGACCUUCUGAGAAAGUCGGAAGCUGAUUCCCUGCAGGCAAGGGAAGGUAUCAAAGCAAAAGUGACUGAGGUGGAGCACCUUGACAGUGUGGUCAAGAAACUGAAAGCAAGUAUCCAGGACACACAGAAAGAAAAGAAUCAGACAGAGAGAGAAACCAUCGUACUGAGAACUGAGAUUCAGCAGCUAAAUCAGGAACUGCAGGGUGUGCAUAAGCAGUGCAGAAAGACAGCCCAAAGAACUUGCCAGUCAAGAUGAAAAACUUCUUCUAAUGGAAUCCAGCUUGAAAGCAGCUCAAGAGCAGCUAAGUGAGCAAAUAGCAGAAACAGUUCGCCAAGAACAGAACAGUAGAAAAUCACAGACACAGCUGAAGACCCUGAGAGAACGUAUUAUAGCUUCUGAAGAAGAAAUUAGUGAUUACAAAUUCAGGAAAAGUGUAGAGAAAUUUAAGAUGAUAAUAGCAUCAAAGAAAGAGAGACGAUAACAGCUUCUCAAGGCCGCAAUGUCCACUGGACCUGGAAUAAGCUUCAGGUAGAAAUACUCUCAAUCAGUUGAAGAACAAGAUUGAAGAGUAGGUAAGUUUUCUUUCAUGGAAGGAAAAAAUUAUCUAGUAUUUAUCUAGUAAGUUGAGCACAAUAGCC
This 809-nucleotide long non-coding RNA is filed under the name Struthio camelus australis. RNAcentral describes it as "lncRNA (ENSSCUG00000015721.1)". Lineage: Eukaryota; Metazoa; Chordata; Aves; Struthioniformes; Struthionidae. The record is from RNAcentral.